GCCGCUCUAGGCCAACCCUCGAAGGCCGAGGUCCUCCGACGUUGACGUGCUCCGCCCCAGCGGUGCGUUUGCCGGGUGGCGCGUGCGCGUCUUGCUCCGCUGCGGGCGGUUAACGGUCGCGCUCGCGCCGCUCUUCCCUCUCUCCCUCCCCCUCCCCCCCCUCAGCCUCUGCUCGCGCGGGGCUGCCGGGGUUCGGUGCCUUCGAGAAGUUUCCCUCGCUCAGGGCUGAGGUGACCGUUAGGGAGUCUCGACAGCCCCCAUGCACCUGCCGCGUCAGCCUUCCACGGGAGUCUCGUUUCCUUAAGAAAUCGGAAUUCAGCCACGAUUCAUCCUUAGGAGGAGCCAAGUCCAAACUCCAAAGACCGGGAGCUGACUUAAAGUUCUUUACUGGAGUCUGCAUGCUUUAACUUCAAGAAAGAUCUUAUGGGACAUACACAUUGUGGCAGAGAAGAAUGGUACCAAUGAAGAACAGAUUGACAGUGAAACUUCAAGUAUGUUCAUGCAUGUAAUAUAAUAAAUGCAUAAUCAUUUGCUGAUUAUAGAAAUGU
Molecule: long non-coding RNA, 548 nt
Filed under: Apteryx rowi (Okarito brown kiwi)
Lineage: Eukaryota; Metazoa; Chordata; Aves; Apterygiformes; Apterygidae
Description: lncRNA (ENSARWG00000003159.1)
Source: RNAcentral